This 253-nucleotide ribosomal RNA is filed under the name uncultured bacterium. RNAcentral describes it as "partial 16S ribosomal RNA". It matches the Rfam family "Bacterial small subunit ribosomal RNA", at positions 524 to 776 of the family's 1533-position model. The record is from RNAcentral.
UACGGAGGGUGCAAGCGUUAUCCGGAUUCACUGGGUUUAAAGGGUGCGUAGGCGGGCAGGUAAGUCAGUGGUGAAAUCUUUGGGCUUAACCCGAAAACUGCCAUUGAUACUAUCUGUCUUGAAUAUUGUGGAGGUGAGCGGAAUAUGUCAUGUAGCGGUGAAAUGCUUAGAUAUGGCAUAGAACACCCAUUGCGAAGGCAGCUCACUACGCAUAUAUUGACGCUGAUGCACGAAAGCGUGGGGAUCAAACAGG